RNAcentral lists this ribosomal RNA (597 nucleotides) under uncultured fungus. RNAcentral's name for it is "eukaryotic LSU rRNA". It matches the Rfam family "Eukaryotic large subunit ribosomal RNA", at positions 37 to 655 of the family's 3401-position model. Lineage: Eukaryota; Fungi. The record is from RNAcentral.
CUCAUAUCAAUUAAGCGGAGGAAAAGAAACCAACAGGGAUUGCCCUAGUAACGGCGAGUGAAGCGGCAACAGCUCAAAUUUGAAAUCUGGCGCUUGCGCCCGAGUUGUAAUUUGCAGAGGAUGCUUUUGGCGCGGUGCCUUCCGAGUUCCCUGGAACGGGACGCCAUAGAGGGUGAGAGCCCCGUACGGUUGGACACCAAGCCUCUGUAAAGCUCCUUCGACGAGUCGAGUAGUUUGGGAAUGCUGCUCUAAAUGGGAGGUAAAUUUCUUCUAAAGCUAAAUACCGGCCAGAGACCGAUAGCGCACAAGUAGAGUGAUCGAAAGAUGAAAAGCACUUUGAAAAGAGGGUUAAAUAGCACGUGAAAUUGUCAAAGGGGAAGGGUUUAUGACCAGACUUGUGCCUGGCGGAUCAUCCGGUGUUCUCACCGGUGCACUUCGCCUGGUAUAGGCCAGCAUCGGUUUCCGUAGGGGGAUAAAGGCUUUGGGAACGUAGCUCUCUCCGGGGAGUGUUAUAGCCCAUUGUGUAAUACCCUUGUGGGGACCGAGGACCGCGCUUCGGCUAGGAUGCUGGCAUAAUGGUUAUUAACCACCCGUCUU